GAGGUGGAGAAUGCACUGAUGGAACAUCCUGCCGUGGUUGAAACAGCUGUGAUCAGCAGCCCAGACCCUAUCAGAAGAGAGGUGGUGAAGGCAUUUGUGGUUCUAGCCCCUGAGUUCCUGUCCCAUGACCAAGACCAGCUCACCAAGGUUCUUCAGGAACACGUGAAGUCAGUGACAGCACCCUACAAGUACCCCAGGAAGUGACCAAAAUCUCUCCAAAGACAAUUCUACAACUAUCUUGGUGCAUGAAAAAUGGCCCCAGCCUUUAACUUAUUCUGAAUUAAAAGCCAAAUUAUUUAAUGGAA
Molecule: long non-coding RNA, 305 nt
Filed under: Rattus norvegicus (Norway rat)
Lineage: Eukaryota; Metazoa; Chordata; Mammalia; Rodentia; Muridae
Description: long non-coding RNA NONRATT001141
Source: RNAcentral